UGUAUUUAUAAAAGAUAGAGAAUGACAACAGUGCAAUACAUAAUUAAACUGGUACAAAAAGGAAUAAAAGGACAUCCCUAUACAUAUACAUGUAUUCUUAUAAUCUGAGUAUGUGUCAAGAUUGGGUAACCCACACUCACAGAGUAUAGGGAAACAGUAACCAGAAUGAAAGAAUAAAAAGAGAGAAGGUAUGUAUACCGGACCUUAGAAUGCCCGGGUUAACUUACGCCCUAGAUAGGAGAAAAAUACAGAGUCAAAAUAGCAAGCCAAGGUCAAGGACACAAGAGAUACUCAAAAACGAAAAAACAAGCCGAAGUCAGGCAACCAGAAAAUCAGAAUAGUCAAAUACACAUCCGGGUCAGUAACGAGAAAAGCAAAAAAACUUCACAGAAAGCACUCUCGGGCAGAAUAAACCACAAUAGGGCAAUGAUCUCCAGAAAGAGGGAAGUUUAAAUAGGGAGAACAAAAAUCUUAUUGGAUAGGAUCAUCACCCUGAACACCAAAUCACACAAAGGGGUGUGACCUGUGAAGGGCAAAUAAUGUGUCCCAAUAAUAUGACCUAAAACAAUAAAUAGUUGCAGCGCACUCAGACUACAAAACAAUAUAUAAUACAAAGAAGGCUACUAAAAUGCCUAUCUGAG
Pelobates cultripes (western spadefoot toad) is the source of this 641-nucleotide non-coding RNA. NCBI's taxonomy places the organism in Eukaryota, Metazoa, Chordata, Amphibia, Anura, Pelobatidae. The record is from the annotation of a GenBank genome assembly.